GCCCGAGUGGCGGAACUGGUAUACGCAGAGGACUUAAAAUCCUCGCCUCGUAAAAGGGGUUGUGGGUUCAAAUCCCACCUCGGGCA
Molecule: non-coding RNA, 86 nt
Organism: Candidatus Doudnabacteria bacterium RIFCSPHIGHO2_01_52_17
Lineage: Bacteria; Candidatus Doudnaibacteriota
Source: Rfam